CCAGCAUCAUCGGCAUCAUCAUAAUCAAUAUAAUCAAUGCUGCUUUGGAGAGUUUGCCACCUGUUGUCAAUGUUUCAGUGUCAGCACGCGUCCAGAAAUACGAGAGCCCCUUGUUUUCAGAAGAAAUCCAUGGUUUGGUGAGCUUGAGAGGCACAUUUAGGCAGCAAAGGAGACAUUGUGGAUUACAGACAUGCUGCAUGUUUCAUGUGUUCCAUGUGCAGUUGCAUGAGGAUGAAGAUGAUGAUGAUAUUCAUUCAUGAGAUGUGUUUUUGCAGUCAUAAGAUCCAGACCACCAAUGUACCAGCACUCAGGCCUAAAACCUGCUUCUGAGGGUUGGUUUCUCUCUUUGGUUAUCUAGCUGUAUGAGUUUUAACACUUUUCAUAAAGCUAGAUAACCGAAAGUAGAAAUAAUUCUCGAAAUCUGUUGAGAACAGCAAGAGAGCACCCACUUUUUCCUCAGAGUUUUAUUUCCAUCCACAUUAUAACACAAAAAAGUAACAACAACAAGGACAGAGCCAUCAGAGAGAGAGCGAGAGAGAGAGAUGCUCAGAGGAACAUUGCUAUAUCUUCCCCUCUCCGCCUACCCAGAAACCCCCAGUGCCAUCUGUACCCCUGUGGGGUGCGGGAGAAUCUGUGCCAGUGCCAGCGGCGACAAAACCCUCGUCAGCGUCCUGGACGGCACAGGGAGGAAGGGAGGCCAUCUUGACGGAGAUCUUACACAAGAAGCUAAGAUGGCUGGGCUGGCACAUGAGGUGUGGACUGAACUUUGCAUUCACACUUUGCUGAAAAUUAGUCGAAAACGACGAAUUAUUCAUCCAGAGAGAACAAUAGGAGCCUCAAGCACCUGAAAGUUUAAGAGGCACAUAAAAUCUUGUUGAUAAUGAUGAUGUGUGUAUAUAUGAGAGCAAAAGUAUUUUGUCUUCAAUGAAAAAGAAUUGUACUUUAUAGUAUUUUCAUUAAGAUUAUAUUAGCA
Long non-coding RNA from Carassius carassius (crucian carp), 973 nucleotides. RefSeq lists it as uncharacterized. Lineage: Eukaryota; Metazoa; Chordata; Actinopteri; Cypriniformes; Cyprinidae. The record is from RefSeq and is a predicted model, not a curated record. The transcript has 4 exons.